RNAcentral lists this ribosomal RNA (639 nucleotides) under Cortinarius cf. subferrugineus DAVFP 26158. RNAcentral's name for it is "eukaryotic LSU rRNA". It matches the Rfam family "Eukaryotic large subunit ribosomal RNA", at positions 1 to 623 of the family's 3401-position model. Lineage: Eukaryota; Fungi; Basidiomycota; Agaricomycetes; Agaricales; Cortinariaceae. The record is from RNAcentral.
GACCUCAAAUCAGGUAGGACUACCCGCUGAACUUAAGCAUAUCAAUAAGCGGAGGAAAAGAAACUAACAAGGAUUCCCCUAGUAACUGCGAGUGAAGCGGGAAAAGCUCAAAUUUAAAAUCUGGCGGUCUUUUGGCUGUCCGAGUUGUAAUCUAGAGAAGUGUUAUCCGCGCUGGACCGUGUACAAGUCUCCUGGAAUGGAGCAUCAUAGAGGGUGAGAAUCCCGUCUUUGACAUGGACUGCCAGGGCUUUGUGAUGCGCUCUCAAAGAGUCGAGUUGUUUGGGAAUGCAGCUCAAAAUGGGUGGUAAAUUCCAUCUAAAGCUAAAUAUUGGCGAGAGACCGAUAGCGAACAAGUACCGUGAGGGAAAGAUGAAAAGAACUUUGGAAAGAGAGUUAAACAGUACGUGAAAUUGCUGAAAGGGAAACGCUUGAAGUCAGUCGCGUCAUCCAGGGAUCAACCUUGCUUUUGCUUGGUGCACUUUCUGGUUUGAUGGGUCAGCAUCAAUUUUGACUGUUGGAAAAAGGUCAAGGGAAUGUGGCAUCUUUGGAUGUGUUUAUAGCCCUUGGUCACAUACAAUGGUUGGGAUUGAGGAACUCAGCACGCCGCAAGGCCGGGUUUUAAACCACGUACGUGCUAGA